This 226-nucleotide non-coding RNA is filed under the name Providencia alcalifaciens. The record is from RNAcentral. Lineage: Bacteria; Pseudomonadati; Pseudomonadota; Gammaproteobacteria; Enterobacterales; Morganellaceae.
AUCAACAUGAUUAAGCCAGGUACAGCAGCGGCUAAUGCCCAGCCACCCCAACUUAAAUGGAUACCCAUAAUGUCCGUCAUCAUGGCUAAUGCGAGUGCGUUUGGUGCCAUUGCAGUUAAGAACAUAUAGCUGGUGGUUUUUGUCACCAUGUAUACGUUUACCAGCAAAUAGUGACCGGCUUUACGUGGGCUUUUUUCAGGAUCAGAGCCUAGCGCUACCGCCACAC